CCUACGGGAGGCAGCAGUGGGGAAUAUUGGACAAUGGGCGAAAGCCUGAUCCAGCAAUGCCGCGUGAGUGAUGAAGGCCUUAGGGUUGUAAAGCUCUUUUACCAGGGAUGAUAAUGACAGUACCUGGAGAAUAAGCUCCGGCUAACUCCGUGCCAGCAGCCGCGGUAAUACGGAGGGAGCUAGCGUUGUUCGGAAUUACUGGGCGUAAAGCGUACGUAGGCGGUUAUUCAAGUCAGAGGUGAAAGCCUGGAGCUCAACUCCAGAACUGCCUUUGAAACUAGAUAGCUAGAAUCUUGGAGAGGUGAGUGGAAUUCCGAGUGUAGAGGUGAAAUUCGUAGAUAUUCGGAAGAACACCAGUGGCGAAGGCGACUCACUGGACAAGUAUUGACGCUGAGGUACGAAAGCGUGGGGAGCAAACAGGAUUAGAUACCCUGGUAGUCCACGCCGUAAACGAUGAUAACUAGCUGUUCGGGCUCUACGAGCUUGAGUGGCGCAGCUAACGCAUUAAGUUAUCCGCCUGGGGAGUACGGUCGCAAGNUUAAAACUCAAAAUGAAUUGAACGGCUGAGACCGNGCGAGACGACGACGAGGGAGAGG
RNAcentral lists this ribosomal RNA (596 nucleotides) under uncultured bacterium. RNAcentral's name for it is "bacterial SSU rRNA". It matches the Rfam family "Bacterial small subunit ribosomal RNA", at positions 338 to 956 of the family's 1533-position model. The record is from RNAcentral.